UACGGAAGGGGCGAGCGUUGUUCGGAAUCAUUGGGCGUAAAGGGCGCGUAGGUGGUUCUGUAUGUCUACCGUGAAAGCGUACGGCUCAACCGUAUUUUGUCGGUAGAAACUGCAGGACUUGAGGCUGGGAGGGGCUGGUGGAAUUCCCUGUGUAGCGGUGAAAUGUGUAGAGAUCGGGAGGAACACCGGUGGCGAAGGCGGGUCUCUGGGCAACUCCUGACGCUGAGGCGCGAAAGCGUGGGGAGCAAACGGG
RNAcentral lists this ribosomal RNA (253 nucleotides) under uncultured bacterium. RNAcentral's name for it is "partial 16S ribosomal RNA". It matches the Rfam family "Bacterial small subunit ribosomal RNA", at positions 524 to 776 of the family's 1533-position model. The record is from RNAcentral.